UACGGAGGAUGCGAGCGUUAUCCGGAUUUAUUGGGUUUAAAGGGUGCGUAGGCGGGCUUUUAAGUCAGCGGUAAAAAUUCGGGGCUCAACCCCGUCCGGCCGUUGAAACUGGGGGUCUUGAGUGGGCGAGAAGAAGGCGGAAUGCGUGGUGUAGCGGUGAAAUGCAUAGAUAUCACGCAGAACCCCGAUUGCGAAGGCAGCCUUCCGGCGCCCUACUGACGCUGAGGCACGAAAGUGUGGGGAGCAAACAGG
This 252-nucleotide ribosomal RNA is filed under the name uncultured bacterium. RNAcentral describes it as "partial 16S ribosomal RNA". It matches the Rfam family "Bacterial small subunit ribosomal RNA", at positions 524 to 776 of the family's 1533-position model. The record is from RNAcentral.